Non-coding RNA from Mycena galericulata, 84 nucleotides. Lineage: Eukaryota; Fungi; Basidiomycota; Agaricomycetes; Agaricales; Mycenaceae. The record is from the annotation of a GenBank genome assembly.
UCUGCUGUAGUUCAGUGGUUAGAAUGGAGGGUCCAAAGCUAGCGUGGCGGACUCAGGUCGGCGGUUCGAAUCCGUCCAGCAGCA